GUAUUUACGUGGAUGGGGUCAAUGGACGAUCAAGAUGGUCCAUGGCCUAGGUUACUACUAGUUUAGUGCCUAAGAUUCACCCAAGUGGUGGAGUCUACAUCAUUUGUGACUCCAUGUAAAAGGGUACUCUCUCUAGUGUU
This 140-nucleotide small nuclear RNA is filed under the name Daucus carota subsp. sativus. RNAcentral's name for it is "sRNA DCAR_sn00020". It matches the Rfam family "U1 spliceosomal RNA". Rfam says of the family: U1 is a small nuclear RNA (snRNA) component of the spliceosome (involved in pre-mRNA splicing). Its 5' end forms complementary base pairs with the 5' splice junction, thus defining the 5' donor site of an intron. The record is from RNAcentral. Lineage: Eukaryota; Viridiplantae; Streptophyta; Magnoliopsida; Apiales; Apiaceae.